This 448-nucleotide ribosomal RNA is filed under the name Streptococcus parasanguinis. RNAcentral describes it as "bacterial SSU rRNA". It matches the Rfam family "Bacterial small subunit ribosomal RNA", at positions 28 to 466 of the family's 1533-position model. The record is from RNAcentral. Lineage: Bacteria; Bacillati; Bacillota; Bacilli; Lactobacillales; Streptococcaceae.
GAUGAACGCUGGCGGCGUGCCUAAUACAUGCAAGUAGAACGCUGAAGCUUGGUGCUUGCACCGAGCGGAUGAGUUGCGAACGGGUGAGUAACGCGUAGGUAACCUGCCUCUUAGCGGGGGAUAACUAUUGGAAACGAUAGCUAAUACCGCAUAAAAGUCGAUAUCGCAUGAUAUUGAUUUGAAAGGUGCAAUUGCAUCACUAAGAGAUGGACCUGCGUUGUAUUAGCUAGUUGGUGAGGUAACGGCUCACCAAGGCAACGAUACAUAGCCGACCUGAGAGGGUGAUCGGCCACACUGGGACUGAGACACGGCCCAGACUCCUACGGGAGGCAGCAGUAGGGAAUCUUCGGCAAUGGGGGCAACCCUGACCGAGCAACGCCGCGUGAGUGAAGAAGGUUUUCGGAUCGUAAAGCUCUGUUGUAAGAGAAGAACGAGUGUGAGAGUGGAA